AACAACUUGGAAGCACGGAGGGCUUCGUGCUUCCAGAAGCAUACCAGCCCACUCUGAUGAUAUAUGUUUGUUUUUACCAUCUUUUUGAGUAAAAUCUGCUGUAAUAAUAUAGAUUAAUAUCAAUAGAGACUUAGUAUGCAAAAUUUUUACUCUUCGCGGUUUGCAAAUUUGGAUAACUACUUUGUAAUUUUUGAUCGUAUGUUUAGAUCAACUAUACAUGAAUAUCAUGUAAUCUUUUGCUCUGCUUAGCACUGUACUAGUAUAUUCAGAUUCUUUCAAGAAUAAUAGAACUUUCACAUGGUUGGAUCGUUUUGUGAUGCUAACUAGCUAAUAAGCAAUUUUCACAUGGCUGGAUCUUUUUGUGAUGCAUGCUACCUAAUAUUCGGCGAUCAACUUUCUCGUGAUAUUCAAGUUGUUGCCUUUUGCAGUAAUGAACCGUCGUGCCUCUGUCAUUGUCGCAUAACAGUUGCAACUACUGGGUUAUCGGGCAGAUGCUUGCAUGCUUAGCUAAGUUCUCAUUUGGUACUGUUGUAAUUUCUUCUGCUUUGUUAAACACAGCUUUUAAGCAAUGGAGCUUCAGGAUGGAUGGCCGAGUACGCCAAGCACUCGUAGUCUACACAAUAACCGAUGUUUGUUUGGCAAUGGAAAAGGCUAAAACUUAGGCCUCGAUAUAUAUAUUUUUGUUCUUUUUUAAGCAUUUUAUAUAAAUUUGUACAUGAGAUGUAUAGGAA
Ananas comosus (pineapple) is the source of this 731-nucleotide long non-coding RNA. RefSeq lists it as uncharacterized. The transcript is spliced from 2 exons. NCBI's taxonomy places the organism in Eukaryota, Viridiplantae, Streptophyta, Magnoliopsida, Poales, Bromeliaceae. The record is from RefSeq and is a predicted model, not a curated record.